AUUCAGAUUUUACUAGUGAUAUCAAGACUUACCACUAUAAAAACAAACUCAUAUAGUUCAAUUAUAAAGGUAUACAGGAUUAUAAGGUGAAGUUGUGAGUGCAAAAGUCUGUUUUAAUAGAUGCUCAAUGCUCAUUACCACUCAUCGCAAAUGGCAGAGCUAGAAUUCAUUUGGAGGGACAGAGGUGGGUACGUCUUAUUAAUUAUGAAAUAAACUUAAAAUUAACUGAAUGUUAUUUAAAAUGAAUUUAAUGCAGUCCAUAUUAAAUGAGAUAAAAAAAAAAAGUAACAUCAACACUAACAAAAGGAAAAUCAAAGAAGCUAAUUAAAAAGGGAAAAUUCGCAAAUAAAUAAACAAAGUAUUUUACCACAAAUUUGAAAUAAUUUUACCUAAUUUUAUCAUCUCUUUCACAUUUUGGAAUAUAGAAUCAGGCCAUUUUACCCGUGUUGAAAAUAAAUAUGUAACAAAGUUGUGUAAAGGUUUAAUGAUAGUAUCAGCGACUAUCGAAGAGACAAAAUUAAAAUGGGAAAGAAUUUGGUUGCAAUGUUCAACAAGAGAUUCAUUACCCGUUAUAUUGAGCUGCAUUUCUUUCCUUUGAAAAGUUCAAAAGUAAAAUUUUUGCCUUGGGAUGAGAGCCUAUGAGGUCAAAAGGAAGGAGAAAAGGGUAUAUGUAUAUUGGGAUAGGCUACAUGGAUCAUUUUUUGCCAUUCAAAUAUGUUUGAGAUCAGUUCUACAUUAAUAUUCAAUGAUUGUAAAUUUUUUGAAACUACUUUGCUCCACAUCAUUUUAAAUCUCUCCCUUUUCCUUCUCACUUCUUCCACGACUAAUUUAUCCCAAUUCCAUACAAGAGCAUUCGAUUUGCUACAUUGGAUAUGAUCAAACCAUUUCAAACGACACUCUCUCAUCUUAUUCCCAAUGUGUGCUACUUGCACCCUUUGACAGAUAUGGUCAUUUCUAAUCUUAUCCAUUAUCGUAGUCGCAAGGGUUUUUGCGGUCGCCGAACGAUUCUCACCGAAGCGAAAAAAGUGAGGAGUCGAUACUUUAAUUUUAAGGGGAAUUAAAGGAAACCAUUUGUAAAAAUAAUAUUUAUAAAAACCACUUCUAAAACAGAGAUUCUAGGCUCGGGGUCCGUGUAUGUGUGGGAAAGGUGUUAAGCACCCUACCUCGUCCCUCAAUGAGGGCAAGCGGAUUCAACGAUGUACUCUUUAUAAUUUAAGAUCGAUAAUUUUGGGGUUAGAAGUAUGAUGUUGGUCCUUGUUAUUAAUAAAAUGAACGUCUGAUAUUUCACUAUUUUGGGUUACCUAAGAACACGAGUACAUGGGAUGACCCUACAGUGAAUUGAUAUUGUGUUUGUUUAAUUUGUUAUGUCUUUAUUAAGUUUCUCCCUCCACGAAUUAGGACUCUAAUUCCCAAGAGGUGUUAUUCAGUCCCUAAAGAUUCAUAACGGGUGAGGAGAACUCUCAGCUGAUGCAUUAUAUACUUUAUCAUUGGCAUUCAAAUAACUGAGGGUGUAGUGUAUGUAAUGGAUAUACAAGAACCGAUAUGAGCAUAGAUUUUCAUUCCUCUUAAUUAGGACUCUAAUUCAAAAGGGAUGUAUUAAUUAAAACCUAGAAAAUUCUCUUCAUUAAUGAGGACUCUCAGUUAAUAGAGGGAUAUCUCAUCAUCGGCAUAAUUAUCCAUAAAAUCUUUACUUAUAUCGUUUCCUAUUAAAUUGUUUAAUAUUUUUUUUAAUAAUGGUAUUUUCUUUGACUAAGCCAAACUGAAACGAGGACUCUCCCUUAAUAAUAUAAGUAUGAGCACCUUGAGGAGGACUCUCUAUCGAGCCUCAAUAUAAGAUUCGGGAUUCUUGGAAUGACUUUCCCGCGAACCCAUUAUUAGAACAUGUGAUAAAUUUUAUAAAAAUGCAGGAGCUAACAAGGGAAGGACUCUCUCCCGAUCUCCCCUAAUUUGAUACGAAACGAUUUUAUUAGAAUUUUAGACUAAGGGGAUUCAGGAAAGGACUCUCCAUCGAUCUCUCUGAUUUAAUGUCAAAGAAAAUUGUUAAAGACACGGGAAGUUCCAGGAAAGGACUCUCUCCCAAUCUCCCUUAAUUUAGAAAGUGAGUUAAAAAGUCACGGAUGUUGAGCCGAACUCUUCGUCGACCUUCUUCUAGAGAACCGAAGUAGUAUACUGCACGUGUAAUUUCUUGAUCCCUUUAUUACCCGAACUUUCUUGAUUUCCGAUCUCAUAACUUGUUGUUCAAGUUCGCCUCGGUUUCUAGUCUCGUAAUUUACCUGUCCGAGCUAAUCUCGGUUUCUGAUUUCAUACCUUAUCUGUCCGAGCUAGUCCAGGAUUCCGACUUCACAACUCAUCCGAACCUUUUACAUCAAUCCGGAAUACAUCUAUUUUCCUAAUUAUUUUUCCUUUAUUCAGAUCGGGAAUCUCCAUAUCGUCACUUCUAUCCGUACUCCUUAUGGUAUUUACGAAAUGUCAGUGACCCGAACUUUCAUUCUCAUACGAAAUAAAAUAAAAAUUAAGAAUAAAGCAAUGAUAAAAAUAAAACUCACGAAUGUCACGAUAGAAAGCCAAAGACAAUAUUUGUGAGAUAUGUCAAACUUGAUGCAACCCUAUUCUGAAAAUUCGGUGUGACAUGAUACCUUAAAAAUACUUACGUCAUGAACACAGGCUAGUGAUACUUAGAGUGAUAAGUUAAACGCUUACCUGUGGAGAGUUGAAAUAAUGGAGAAGCCAAUACUGAUGCCCUGCAAACCUGAAGCUGCUAAAGCUGAGACGACAAAGUGACUUUGUGCUGCCGAAGGUGAUGAAAGUGAGAUCUUGAUGACGAACUGAGUUUAGACUUUCAAAAUGGUGCACUAUUGCUAAGGAUAUGGAUUGCAAGACCUGUAACUCUAGUGAUAAGAUCCUUUAGAAAACUUGUUUUUAAAGUCUCCAGAAACCUUAAGAGCUUCAGAAUGAAAGGCAAUAAAGCUACAGCGAAAGUCAGAGAUUUCCCUCGAUAAAAACCCCUCCUUUCUUCUUUUAUACAGUAUUGCAUGCAGAUAUUUAUAGAAAAUGGAUACUCAAAAUAGAGGGUCAGGAUUUCAGCAAGAAGAGAUGCCUCGUCCGGAUUUUAAAGGACAAAAUCCGAUGUCUUAGAAUUAAAGAGAAUCAAAAUUGAAGAUUAUGAUUUAGUUCAGAAUUUCUGUCUUUUCAUUCUUUUAUCCAACGGUUAGGAGUCCUACCUUACAUAAUAGAUCCAAGGGCUGAGAAUAAAAUGUGCCAAAUCGGUUAUUCGCUUUUAAUCUGAAGGUCUCAAAUUUGUCCUUACAAGUGUGAUCAACAGUGUGCAUUGAGAUGUACGAGGAUGCUUUAACCGUUUGAGAUCCGAUGGUAAGGAGUUCGUCCUUACAAAUGGGAUGGAUGGUGGGGAUUAGAUUGUACCCCAAAUGCUUUAACCAAUUUCGGAUCUGACGGUAGGGGAAUUAGUCUUAUGGAUUAAGGGUCAUGAUUGAAAACGAUUCGAUUCCCCAAGCCUUCCGAUCUCUUUUGGUUAUUCCCUGAUCCAUCCGAUCUCUCAUCAUGGCCGUCGGUUCUGAGACCUCUUAUUCCGAUCUCUUAAUCUAACUCUUUCCGCGUCUGAUCUCUUCUCGUCUCUUCUUUAUAUCCGACCAGUACCAUUGAACUCUUAAUAAGGAAGCAUUAAAUUCUUCAAUUACCAAUGAGCCGCUUCGAGUUCUGCAUGCAUUAAAUGCCAAGGCCCUAUAUAUAUGCGAGAGAGAAUUCCGUCAUUUUCACACUCACACUCUUCCUUCCCUAGUGAAUUUUCAAUGUGCUAUUUUUCUGAUCCUUACUUUCCCAGCGAGAAUUCUCAUUAUGACCACUACCUCGAUCUUUUUCCGAUAGCUUUCUUUGCCCAUUGCCUGAAAAUGGACAAUACCGGCGAUCAGAUAACAACGAGAACAUCACCUAAUGACGACGAGAAAACCGGACUAAUUGACCGAUUAGAGUCCAAAAUGACUACCGAGCCGAUCUCUAAUC
This 4017-nucleotide unclassified non-coding RNA is filed under the name Hevea brasiliensis (rubber tree). The record is from RNAcentral. Lineage: Eukaryota; Viridiplantae; Streptophyta; Magnoliopsida; Malpighiales; Euphorbiaceae.